GACGAACGCUGGCGGCGUGCUUAACACAUGCAAGUCGAACGGAAAGGCCCUGCUUUUGUGGGGUGCUCGAGUGGCGAACGGGUGAGUAACACGUGAGUAACCUGCCCUUGACUUUGGGAUAACUUCAGGAAACUGGGGCUAUUACCGCAUAGGAGCUCCUGCUGCAUGUGGGUGGUUGGAAAGUUUCGGCGGUUGUGGAUGGACUCGCGGCUUACCAGCUUGUUGGUGAGGUAGUGGCUUACCAAGGGUUUGAGGGAUAGCCGGCCUGAGAGGGUGACCGGCGACAAUGGGACUGAGAGAGGGCCCAGAAUCCUACGGGAGGCAGUAGUGGGGAGUAUGGCACAGUGGGGGGAAGCGUGAUGCAGAAACGCUGCGUGCGGAAUGACGGCCUUCGGGUGGUGAACAGAUUUCGACUGUGCCGAAGAGUGAGUGACGGUACUGGGUCAAGAAGCACCGGCUAACUACGUG
This 468-nucleotide ribosomal RNA is filed under the name uncultured bacterium. Its description in RNAcentral is "partial 16S ribosomal RNA". It matches the Rfam family "Bacterial small subunit ribosomal RNA", at positions 28 to 507 of the family's 1533-position model. The record is from RNAcentral.